GUGGGGAAUUUUGGACAAUGGGGGAAACCCUGAUCCAGCAACGCUGCGUGGAGGACGAAGGUCUUCGGAUUGUAAACUCCUUUUGCAGGGGACGAAUGACACCGCAAGGUGUUUUGACGGUACUCUGCGAAUAAGCCACGGCUAACUACGUGCCAGCAGCCGCGGUAAGACGUAGGUGGCAAGCGUUACUCGGAAUUACUAGGCGUAAAGCGCGUGUAGGCGGGUGUCUAAGUCUAUUGUUAAAUCUUCGGGCCCAACCCGAAAAAGUCAAUAGAUACUGGAUGUCUUGAGUAAGGCAGAGGAAGCUGGAAUUCCCGGUGUAGCAGUGAAAUGCGUAGAUAUCGGGAGGAACACCAGUGGCGAAGGCGGGCUUCUGGGCCUUUACUGACGCUAAGACGCGAAAGCUAGGGGAGCAAACAGGAUUAGAAACCCGUGUAGUCC
RNAcentral lists this ribosomal RNA (441 nucleotides) under uncultured bacterium. RNAcentral's name for it is "partial 16S ribosomal RNA". It matches the Rfam family "Bacterial small subunit ribosomal RNA", at positions 354 to 796 of the family's 1533-position model. The record is from RNAcentral.